Molecule: ribosomal RNA, 253 nt
Filed under: uncultured bacterium
Lineage: Bacteria
Description: partial 16S ribosomal RNA
Rfam family: Bacterial small subunit ribosomal RNA
Source: RNAcentral
UACGUAGGGUGCGAGCGUUAAUCGGAAUUACUGGGCGUAAAGCGUGCGCAGGCGGUUUUGUAAGCCAGAUGUGAAAUCCCCGGGCUUAACCUGGGAAUGGCAUUUGGGACUGCAAGGCUGGAGUGUGGCAGAGGAGACUGGAAUUCCUGGUGUAGCAGUGAAAUGCGUAGAUAUCAGGAGGAAUACCGAUGGCGAAGGCAGGUCUCUGGGCUAACACUGACGCUGAGGAGCGAAAGCGUGGGGAGCGAACAGG